UUUGUGUGCUUACAGCACAAGCAAAGAACACAGAGGAUGAGUCACAGCAUCACCAAGAUUGGAGAAGACCUCCAAGAUCAUCCAGUCCAGCCCUCCACCUACCACCAUUUCUCCCCCCUAAAACAUGUCUGAGUACACACAGGAAAUGUGAAAGCCCACACCAGUACAACCACAGGUGCUGGGAGGCCCCCCUGCUGCUCCACCAUGCCUGCAACUCUCUGGUCCCUUAAAUUAACAUCCCUUUUCACCAGGCCUUCUUCUGCAGAGAAAGUUGGUAUUCUCUUGCCUGGUACAAAAAUCCUUAUCCCAGUCAUGAACAUGAGCUCUGUCAGAGGCCCUCUAAACCACAGCAGUCUGAAGGGAUAUUAUAUGGGAACUGUUGAGUCACGUUCUGAACCACUGAUUGAUCACUGGGGAAAGGACCCCAUCAGCCCUGGGAGCACAGGUGAAGGCAAUUCCGCUGUGUGAUCAGAAGGGGUGGAGCCUGGCUGCAUCUCUGUUAGACCCCAUUUAAGGGCUGACCCCCACUGGUUGGGGAUCCUUCCUUGUGGAGUUUUCUCUAUAAGCCUACCUACUCAGAGGUGGGUGAGCAUUCCUUUCCUGUUUGUCCCUUUUUCUAUUCUGUUCCUGCAUUUCCUUUCUACUGUGCUAAUCUUUCCAACUGUAACAGAUAUCACAUAAAUAAAAAC
This 689-nucleotide long non-coding RNA is filed under the name Gallus gallus (chicken). RNAcentral describes it as "lncRNA (ENSGALG00010021349.1)". Lineage: Eukaryota; Metazoa; Chordata; Aves; Galliformes; Phasianidae. The record is from RNAcentral.